GAUCCAUGCCAUUUCGGCCUUUCAACCGGUCCAUCCAUGAGGCACCAGUCCGCCUCCAAGGCUCCAACCAAGCUCCGAGGCCGUUCCCCUAAAAAAAAAGAAGAAGCUCCGAGGCCGUCCGCCGCCUGGCUCCAGUCCAGCCCGCGAUCUCUUCUCCGUUCGGCCCAUGCGGAACACCACCACUUCCACGGCGUUCUCACACUCGAAUCGUUCCCAAACGCGGCCGCCCACGGCCAAGACGGCUAUGGGGCCCCCUCGCCCCUGGGCGAAGGGGAAGGGGAGGGAGGCCGGCCGUCCGCUUCUUCUCCCGCCCCUCUCAUCGGCGCCCGUUCAACUCUCCCGCGGCUCGAUCAGAUUCGGUUCGGAGGAGAUGAAGCCACUACUCCUCGUCCAUCUCCGCGGCUGCGCGUCAGCCACCAACUAGGGUACUAGCGACUCUUACCCGGAUAGUGAUUGAAGACAUGGAUGUGACUGAAUGAUUAUUUUGUUUUUGAACAAUCUUCCAUCCAUCAUGUCCAGCUUGCACCAUAUCAUGUCCAACACUAUUUAUGUUAGUAGUCAAAUUGGUACAGGACAUGCGAAGAAUCCUACACUGGCAUCUUCUGUUUGAGUAGUUGCCUGGCUCUUAUGAACAAUUGUGCACUCGUGCAUAUCAACCCAUGAGGCCCAACUUGGUGAGAAACUGAGAAUCUUCCUAUUUUGGGCUAUGAGAAGUCUAUGGUACAAAGGAGAGGGAAAUGAAGGUGGUGAUAAUUGUUCUGUAUAGGAAAGUGGGCCCAUAGCAAUGUUAACUAUGGGAGAUGGGAUGAAAGGGUUGGUUAUGAGGCCAUGUGCAACGGAGGGCACAAGUGGGGAACAGGGAUUGCACGGGAUAACAUGGGAGCCAUGUCUCUCCAUGUUGCCUAGUGUGUAUUUGUGUAUAGCUUUCAUUCUUGGCUGGACUCCUCUGGCAAGGGAAUAGCCAACACCAACUCAUAAUUCCCCCACUUCGGCUUUACAUCUCUUACCCUUUCCCUGCCUCUACUAGCAACCAGAUGAAAUAGAAGCUUUACUAUUUCCUCACUUUCAUUUUACUUUUCCAGAUCCCAUGCCAAUUGGUGGCCAUCCUUGCAGCAAUGUGCAAGAGAAUUUUUUUUCUGAGGACAGUGUGUAAGAGAAUUCGUUCUAUCAGAUGUGAUGCUUUGUUGAGUUAGGGUCUUCAAAGUGAACAAAAUUGAUUCCUCGAAAGCUACUAAAUUGUCAGUUGACUCAGCCUUGAGCUUGAAGUGUGGCGUCCGUCUUGCCAUUCCAUUCUUGCCUACUGAACCUCUGAGUUGCAGGCCCCUUGUCAUUGAGGGAUGAUUGUUUAUCUUGGCAGAAACUUUUACUAAUGGUGUAAAUUUUUUUACACCGUUCAAAUGGAAUGGAUAUCAGAAAGAGCUAUGCAAUAGAUCCUUGGUGCGCUCCCUGAAUCAUGUGGCAAGACAACCCGAGCAGGCGCACCAGCAAUUUUCACCUUCCUACUCUACCUGUAACUGAGCACAUUAUGGUGAAGUGGAUUGGUGAUUGGCAAUUGUGUUGGCCUGUCUUUCUGCUGCUCUGUAAUAAGUAAUAACAAUAACACUCAAGUAUGUGCUUUAGGUGCUAGCACCUUUUGUUGAACAAAACUACAGGGAGAAGUAUUUGCUUUAUAACCAUAAAUGCAACAGUACAGGCAAAUGUUGGCACUUCAAGCAAGUGAGAAGGAAGCUGGCAAUCCUAAAUGGCUAAUUUUAUGGGGAAGUCUUUAUAUAAAUAUGGCUAAUUUUGCCACGGUGAGAAGCAAUUUGGAGAGUAAAGCCAAUUUCUAAGUUGGGAGAUUGGUUUGGUCCAGCUCAGCUCAGAUGUACUUUCAUCAGUUUUUGGUUAAAUCCCAGCCUAGUGCCAGGCUGCCCAGCUCAUCAGUUUCCUCACCGCCGAGUGGCAUCAGUUAUAGGAAUCUCGAGGGGCAACCAAUUUUGCCGGCUCUCUUUCAUGGUGGCCGUUGAAGUAUUGUUGUCAACACUUGGUCCUAACUUCACUUGUUGGGUAGGUGCUACUCAAAAGUUUAAUGGACUACACCAUAUAACUUUGUACAAAUGCACACCGCACAAUCGGUUAUGGAGUGUCAACAGUUGGCAAAGAUUAACAUGUCGAUCCAAUGACAGCUCCCCAUCCUGGACACUCAACAAUCUUGGAUUUUUGCUGCAACAGAAAAUGGUCCUGCUCCCGGCCAUAACCAGGAUAAUGCCAGUUCAUGCUUUUCUCUGAAGAAAAAGGCUUCAUUUUUUCUCCAACACGGCGGUGCUAAUCUGGGGUUAAUAACUACACGCAUGGUGUAGGUUGGUUCAUCUGCGGUUUAGUUUGGCUUUUAUCGUAGACAGGGAGGGAAUCCAAAUCCAGGCUCUGAUCUGCUAGGAUCGAUGCUGUUUCUUCAGGGGCAAGUGAAGUCCAUGAUGAUUCUACCAGCUUCAGACUCACGCCUUGGCAUGUGCUCCGAUCGGAGGUAUGCAAAAUUUCUGGCUAGCUUAACUAGGCUGGUGAUCUAGUGGUCCAGAUGUACAAACUAACUAGAUUUGUGGGUUAUCUUGCAAGGAAGGAUGGAUCUGUUUAAUUAGUUGCUUCCAAGCUUGAAGACGACAAAGGUAAAAAAAAAAAAAAAGAAAAAAGAAAAGAGGAAGAUGUUUAGAACUUUAUGGUCUCCAGCAACACGGGACCAUGAGGUGUGAUUUUUCGCUGGACCAUAAUCUCGUAAUGAUGAUAUAUAGGUAGGGGCCAUCUUGAUAUCCGUCUAUACAUCUAUCUGUUAACAUCUUAAUUAAUUAGCUAUGAAGUACGGCUAUAUUCUAAAAUCACAUGACUUCUCAGCAUCUUAAUGAAUAUUAUAUGCCAAACAGUUCAAUUGAACUUGAACUAUUACAACAAGUUCCA
Brachypodium distachyon (stiff brome) is the source of this 2928-nucleotide long non-coding RNA. RefSeq lists it as uncharacterized. Lineage: Eukaryota; Viridiplantae; Streptophyta; Magnoliopsida; Poales; Poaceae. The transcript has 5 exons. The record is from RefSeq and is a predicted model, not a curated record.